CACAUACGCCUGAUGGCGUUUCCUCCCUAAACUCGGGCCGUGCCGGCUACGCCGGUGCGGUCUUUUCUUUGCCCGCG
This 77-nucleotide unclassified non-coding RNA is filed under the name Thalassobaculum litoreum DSM 18839. RNAcentral's name for it is "suhB". The record is from RNAcentral. Lineage: Bacteria; Pseudomonadati; Pseudomonadota; Alphaproteobacteria; Rhodospirillales; Thalassobaculaceae.